This 525-nucleotide ribosomal RNA is filed under the name Lodderomyces parapsilosis. Its description in RNAcentral is "eukaryotic LSU rRNA". The stretch from base 185 to 338 matches the Rfam family "5.8S ribosomal RNA". The record is from RNAcentral. Lineage: Eukaryota; Fungi; Ascomycota; Pichiomycetes; Serinales; Debaryomycetaceae.
CCUCCCGUAAGGGGAACCUGCGGAAGGAUCAUUACAGAAUGAAAAGUGCUUAACUGCAUUUUUUCUUACACAUGUGUUUUUCUUUUUUUGAAAACUUUGCUUUGGUAGGCCUUCUAUAUGGGGCCUGCCAGAGAUUAAACUCAACCAAAUUUUAUUUAAUGUCAACCGAUUAUUUAAUAGUCAAAACUUUCAACAACGGAUCUCUUGGUUCUCGCAUCGAUGAAGAACGCAGCGAAAUGCGAUAAGUAAUAUGAAUUGCAGAUAUUCGUGAAUCAUCGAAUCUUUGAACGCACAUUGCGCCCUUUGGUAUUCCAAAGGGCAUGCCUGUUUGAGCGUCAUUUCUCCCUCAAACCCUCGGGUUUGGUGUUGAGCGAUACGCUGGGUUUGCUUGAAAGAAAGGCGGAGUAUAAACUAAUGGAUAGGUUUUUUCCACUCAUUGGUACAAACUCCAAAACUUCUUCCAAAUUCGACCUCAAAUCAGGUAGGACUACCCGCUGAACUUAAGCAUAUCAAUAAGCGGAGGAA